CCUGAACGCUGGCGGCGUGGCUAAGACAUGCAAGUCGUACGGAUGUAGCAAUACAUCAGUGGCGAACGGGUGAGUAAUGAAUCGCUAAUGUACCCCGGACUCUGGGAUAGCUGCCCGAAAGGGCAGGUAAUACCAGAUGAUAUAUCUUUAUCGCAUGAUAGAGAUCUCAAAGGUCCGCCGGUCUGGGGAGCAGGCGAUUUUGUAUCAGCUAGUUGGUGAGGUAACGGCUCACCAAGGCGAUGACGCAUAGCCGGACUGAGAGGUUGGCCGGCCACAUUGGGACUGAGACACUGCCCAGACUCCUACGGGGGGCUGCAGUAACGAAUCUUCCGCAAUGCACGAAAGUGUGACGGAGCGACGCCGCGUGUGGGACGAA
This 376-nucleotide ribosomal RNA is filed under the name uncultured bacterium. RNAcentral's name for it is "bacterial SSU rRNA". It matches the Rfam family "Bacterial small subunit ribosomal RNA", at positions 30 to 412 of the family's 1533-position model. The record is from RNAcentral.